UGCGUAGGCGGUCGCGCAAGUCGGAUGUGAAAUCUCGGGGCUCAACCCCGAAACUGCAUUCGAUACUGCGUGGCUAGAGUGCUGGAGGGGAGACUGGAAUUUACGGUGUAGCAGUGAAAUGCGUAGAUAUCGUAAGGAAGACCAGUGGCGAAGGCGAGUCUCUGGACAGCAACUGACGCUGAGGCACGAAGGCCAGGGGAGCAAACG
This 207-nucleotide ribosomal RNA is filed under the name uncultured bacterium. Its description in RNAcentral is "partial 16S ribosomal RNA". It matches the Rfam family "Bacterial small subunit ribosomal RNA", at positions 568 to 774 of the family's 1533-position model. The record is from RNAcentral.